This 10454-nucleotide long non-coding RNA is filed under the name Gossypium raimondii (Peruvian cotton). RNAcentral's name for it is "long non-coding RNA (GRAI_LNC001497)". Lineage: Eukaryota; Viridiplantae; Streptophyta; Magnoliopsida; Malvales; Malvaceae. The record is from RNAcentral.
ACACCGGCGUCGGUGCAAGCACAGGGGGGAGAGUAAAGUGGGGUGGAUACCAUGUUAUAGAUGCUGUUGAAGCCGAAAAAUUCACUGUUGGUAAUUUUCUCGCUGGAAAUGCAUGGAUUCCGGGGACUGGAGUGCCAUUUGACGUCGGACUGUGAAUUUGUUGAUUUCAACAUUAGGAAAAAUUUAAAUACCAAAGUAACCCUGUAUUUAAGAUUGUCAUAUAGCUUUUUGUGAUAAAGACUAUGUAUAUAUAGUUGAAUUUGUCAAAGAGGAGAAGGGGUUGUGUAAUAAAUCAUGCUGAAAUUGUUGUAUUUAUAAAAGAACAAGUACGUUGGCUCAAAUACUUAGACUUUUAUUUAUUUAUAUGAAAAUCUUGGUAUUUAUAUCGACUAUAAUAUUGCGUAGGAAGUGGGAAUACAUUGUUAACGUUUUUGGCCAUAAAAAAGGUUGAUUAAUCGCGUGUGAAGGAUUAUUGGGCAAAAAAAGAAAAUAGAUUACGGUGACAGGGAUAGUGAAGGAAACAGCCGCCGCCAGCUGUUUUCACGUCCAAAUGCAUUGACUUUCUUUCUAAGUCUUCUUAAUAAUAUUACACUAAGUUCAAAUAUACCAUCCUUUUAAAUAUACAUAUUUCCACCUUAGGAAUAUGUAAUUUUGCACAAGAAGUUGCUCACUAUAUCUUAAUAAAUUCAGAAAAUGAAUAGAUAUCCAAAAUAAAGAAAGGAAGGAUAAGGGACAACACCAUAUGAUAUUCCACCAAUGAAAAUGCUGCUCAAGACCAUUAGCACUUAUAUGAGACAUGUUUUAGGGUUUGAAGCCAAUAUUUAUACCUUUGGAGGUACUAUCAUUUACUGCAAACACUCAUAUUUAUUUUGUAUCCCACAAAACAAGUUCAACACUUGCCUGCCAACCCUGAGGAGAAAAGAAUGUUCUAUUCACUUUGCCAAACAUCUCUUAGAGUGGCUGCUCCAUCAAAUAUUUAUCCCACAUCUUUCUACACCCUCUCACCCCAAUCUCUUUUGUCAACCAUUUAAUUCCAUUCCAUCACUCACAAAACAAAUCAUUCAACAUUUUCUUUUAAGAAAUGGUAAAUUUCGAAAUUGUCUCUAUCAAAUAAAGCAUAACAAUAUUUAUUAUUAACAACACGUAAUUUAGUUCAUUUAACUUCUUAUUAAAGAAUUGUCAUUUGGAGUGCGAAAAUUUAUAUACUAAACUUAAGUGAGGCUCUAGUAAAAAGAAGAGAAAGUUUUAGAGGAGAGUGAUCCAAAUUAAAGCAUAUAAGUGAGGUUGCUAUAUUGUAAGUGAGUGAGACUUAAAUCUCAACAAGUAUACUGGAUUAACUCUCUUAGUAAGACCCCACAAACGUAAAGAUUUCAAAUUGUAUAGACCUUCUUACUGUUCAUCAUUAUUUUACUUGUAAUAGUUACUUGGUCCUGCUACAACUUACCAUAUAUCUAUCAAGCAAAAACCAAUCAACUCUCAAUUUGUUAUGAAAGGCUUUUAAAAUUCAAACUUUACUCAUAUGAUCGUACUCCUGCAAUGAAAAGGUCAUGGAAUGGUGAUUAUGUAGCGCUCGUUGAAGAUGAGAGUGAACUAAAUAAUGGUUUGAAUGAGGCAGAGUUCGAGUCUUAUUUUAGUUUUUAACAUUACCUGACCACAAAAUAUAUAUUUGACAUGUAUUCAAAUAUAAGUAUAAUAUUAUUGGUCUUCAAAAAUAAUAUAAUAUAGAUUAACAUAAUAUAUUUUAAAUUUAUAUCUAUAUUUAAAACGCACCAUGAAAGGAAAAGAAAAUGAUAAUCUUGACGUAGGAAUGGGACUGAUUAAAACAAUUCAAUUAAAAAAUUAUUAAAAAUUAAAAAAUUCAAUUAAAUAUUUCUUUUGCUUCCAAAAGGAAAAACAAUUUAAUUAAAAAAUUAUUAAAAAUUUAUAAUAUUAAAAAUAUUAAAAGAUAAUAAAAUUUUAUUUAAAUUGAUUCAUACUAAUUCGUAAUCCAAUUGAUUUAAAACAAUUUUUGAACUUAUACUUCGAUUAACUCUUGAUUUAAUUGGUCCAACCAAUCGAUUAAUUAAUUCAAAUAAUUAUGAAUAUUUACUGCAUUUUAUUUAUUUUGCCAUUGCUUCUAAGACUUUUCCAACAUGAAGAUGAAUUGAUUGAUGAGUGUAUAAGAUUUGACAUCUAUUAUGGGCAUCAUUGUCUUAAAAGUGAAAUUGUUGUUAAAAAAAAAAACUAUUCCAUUUAUAGUAGACUUUCACAUGUUUAAUUGUCACAUUUUUUUAACUUUUAAAAUUGCACACUUCCCAAAGAAAUAUAGGUAGCUUUUAAUAUAAAACUGUCAUAAUUUUUAAUUUAUAAGUAGAUUGAUAAUAUGAAUACAACUUUUCAACCAUCCAUAUUUUUCUUUAUUGUGAUUUAAAAAUGUUGAGGGGAUGGACUCUUAAUGAAAUUAUGUAUAAAAUCAAUAAAAGAGAAAAUUGACGAAUGAUAAAAAGAAGUUGAAUUAAGAAGCAUGACAUGAUAUAUUAAUUUAAGCUUGAGGUUAAACCAUAAGAAUGUGAAAAUAAUUGAGGCCUUAGUGUAAAUAUUCAAAAUUUAUAGGAUUAAAACAUAAAUAUGGAAAAGUUAAAGGACCAAAAGUGAAAAUAUUCAAAAGGAAGAAAAGACUAAAAUAUAAAACAAAUUGGUGAAUGAGGACCAAAUUAAAUAAGUAGAUAAAUGAGAGGGAUUAAAUUAUAAUAUUUACAAAAGUGAGUAAUGGCUCAAAAACGAAUGUUGAGAAAUUUCAAGGGCAAAAUGGACAUUUUUAAAUUCGAAUAAAUAUCAAUUAUUAAAGUGUAAUAAUUAUGGAUUAUUUGGUGUUGAAAGUUAAUUGGUUGGAAUAUUUUAUAAUUAUUUUAUUAUUAGAUUUUUUAUUAAUGAAUGAAUGAAUAAAUAAAUGAAAAAGAUGGAAAAAGUUAUCCAUCAUGUUUCCAUGUUGCCUUUUACCAUGGGAGAAAAAGAAGUUGAGUUUUAUUGAAUAUUGUCCUUUUCAUCAAAAUUCAUCAUUUUCACCUAGAAAUCAAAUGAAUUACCUUAACCUCCAAGAGGGAAAGGUGACAAGAAGACUAUGAUGAGUACGAAUAUCAUCUUGCACUCAAGAGAAUUGAGGUUAGAGGAGAGAGAAAUUCAAUCUAACGCUUGAAAUCAAUAGGACAAGGUAAGAACAUCAAGAUUUUGUCCUGUUUUAAAGCUUCAUAUUGUAGAAAAAACAUGAAAAUUAUGUUAAAGUAGAGUUUUGUUAUAUAAAGUUUUGUGUUCUUAAUACGUUACUGAAGAGAAAGUGAUGGAAAACAUUGUAGAUAAAGGAAAGGAGAUGACAAAUAUGAGAAAAGAAAAGGGUGAGGUUAGGGAAAUGAAAAUUUUAGCUAAAAAGAGAUAAAGACUCGAAUGAAUUUUAGUUAUUUUUCAAAUGACUAAAGUGAAUUAGGGGGUAAGUUAAGUGUAUUGGUAUGUAAUAAAAAUCACGGCCUAAAGGAUAAUAAUAUUUUUAGUUAUAUUUAUUAUUAGCAAACUCGUAAUUUACUCCAAUUAACUUAAGUGAAAACACUUCAUUUUUCUUAUUAAGGAAUUGUCAUUUGGAGUGCAAAAAAUUGUAAAGUAAACUUAAGUGAGUCUCUAGUAAAAAGAAAAAUGAGUCACCUAGUUUACAUCUAAGCUUUUAAGAGGAAAGUCUUAGAGGAGAGUGAUCCUGAUUAGAGUAUACAAGUGAGGAUGCUACUUUGUGAGUGAGUGAGGCAUAACUUUCAAAAAGUAUAGUGGAUUAACUCUCUAAGCAUGACCCCAAAAACAUAAAUAUUUCAAAUUGUAUAAACAAGUUCUUCGUGUUCAUCGAUGUUUUUAUUGCAAUAGUUACUAGGUCCAGCUGUAACUUACUAUAUAUUUACCAAGAAAAAACCAACCAACUCUCAAAUUGUUAUGAAUUAGGAUUUUAAAAUUUAAACUUUACUUAUAUGAUUGUAGUCCUGCGAUGAAAAGGUCACGGAAUAGUGAUUACGUAGUGAUGGUUGAUGAUGAAAGCUAACAAAAUAACAGUUUAAGUGGGGCAAAGUUUGGAGUUGAUUUUAGUUUUCAAGAUGCUAUAUUUAAUAAGCAUUAUUAAUCAAAGCUAUUAUGGGAGGAAGUUAUUCAUGAUAUAGAGGAUUCAGGUGAGGAUUAGGAGAGUGGCCUAGUGGCGAGAUCAAUAUGGCAUAGCGUGUAACACCCUAUACCUAACCCAAUCGCUGGGUUUGGGUACCAAGUGUCACAAGAAACCCGAGUCACUUAACAAAAUUUUGCCCGGUUACUUAUCGCCUUAAUUUGUAUCAAGUGGUACAUCCAUUACUACCUAUCAGCAUUUAGUCAAUUCCAAAGAUAACAUCAUAUUUAAGAUUUAAAUCCCAAUUAUAAUUUAUCUUGUACAAGUUUUCAAUCCCUACAAUUGUCCUGCUUUAUUUAACAAAAAUAAUUAUUUAUAAUGACUUAAAACUUAAUAUUUUACUACAAUAAACUUAAUUAAUCCUCAAGGCGUGGCCUCUAAGGACGCCCCUCUAUAUACAUGAAACAGCUACCAUGCCCAUCACUUGAAUCUGGUAGUGUCUAGGUUGGUCCUUCCACUUGCUCAUUGAGUUUUCAUCUACCCUACAUACAAGCAGUAAUUUUUACAAGUUCAGAAUAACUUAGUGAGAUCUUGUACAUUGAUAUUCAUAGAAUACUUUUUAAAAUUUGGGAAAAAUAGAUUUUGUGUGCAGAUGCAAAACUCCCUAAAUUUCGUAGGAAAAGCCAAUGCCUUGUUUUCUCUGAGCUAACUGUCGGUGGUCAUAACCACUAGCCAUAACUAUGUUUUAUCAAACAAUUCUUUCUUAUGGGUUUUGACCAUGUUUAUCGCUGCUCUAAACUUUCCUUAUACCCUUCAUAAUAUGUCUCAUCUUUGAUGCCCAUAUUUGCCAACACAAAUUAGCGAAUGAAUGCGAGAUAAAGUACAAUCGAAUUAUAACCUGUUAUGAGGGGAUUGGAGUGGAGAUUGUUGUGGAGUGAUAUAUAUAUUUUUCCUGAGCAGGCCGAGGUUCAGUAUUUAUUGCGAACUCUCGUGUUGUAGUCCCUGUUUUGGCGUGCUUUUGGUUCAACUAGCUCUUAUGAGGUCUAGCGUGUUACCAGAAGAAUUAACUCUUACAAGUGAUUGGCAUGUUUUGGGUGGAAAUUUUAAGUACUCAUAUUUGUAAGUCAUUCAUAAGAUCUUAAAUCUCUAUAUUGUAACUUUUUUAGUGAUUUUUAUAGUUAUAACAUGUAUUUGAGCUUUAAAUUGAACUAUGCAAUUCACCAGGUUGUGAUUUUGGAUGACAGGGAACACAUGUAGUUGAUUUAUUAUUGAAUGAUUUAUUGUAUUACUUCGGUAAGAUUUAUUGUUUUUGUACAUCAACUUACUAAGCUUUAAUGAGCUUACUUGUGUUAUUUUCUGUUCUUGUAGAUACUUUGAAGGUUGGACAGUUGGAUCGACACUCAAGUUACACUAUCCAUCCAUUUUCGAUAGUUUUUGAACAUUUUGUCUUAGGUUUAUAAUGGCAUGUAUAGGAUGUUAUGUAAUGGUAUUUUGGUAUGUUUUUAUCUUGAUGUUUAUGAAGGAUUGAUGGACUUAUAAUGCUUGCUAGGUAAGUCUUUUUGGUCAUUUUUGAGAAUUGUUGUGUAUGGCAUUUUGGCACAAGAUGUUGGUUUGGAAAUGGUCAAUUAUGAUAUGUUUUAGGCACAUAUAGAAUGAAUUUUUUGUGCAUGGAAAUAUUGGUUAGUUGAUUUAGGAUCUUGAAAUGGUAUAUUAAUGUGUGUUUAGACGUUGUUUAGGUCCAUUUUAUAGUUUGCUUAAAUAGGUUGAAUGUUUAUGCAUGGCAUGGUUUUGGAAUGGCUUGAUUAUAGGUAAAUUUUGGGUCCACACGGCUUGAGACACGAGCGUGUGACUCAACCGUGUGUCAUUUGAUAAUUUUUUAGGGUGCAAGUUAGUGAGUUACAUAGCCUGGCACACAGGCAUGUGGGGAAAUUUAGAGAGUUACACGACCUGACACACGGGCAUGUGACAUGGCCGUGUGACCCUGUUUUGCAAAUUUUGCAUCUUUUUCCUAAACUUUUGAAACUGUUUCAAAUUGGUCCCAAAUUGUUUCUAGGUUAUUUUUAGGGCCUUGAGGGCUCGAUUUAAAGACAGUAUACAUGUAUAUGAAUGAUUUAUGAUGUGAUUAUAAUAUUGAACGAUAUAAAGUACAAAUGUUUCUAAUUGUUUAGUAAUACUCUGUAACCCUAAUCCAGCGACAGAGACGGGUUAGGGGUGUUAGAAGUAAACAUCAAAAUGAUCCUAACAAUCUAAACAAAACUUAUAAUGUCCGUAAGUCUGUAAAACCCAAAAGAAAUGUCUGAAAAUGUCCCUAUUAAACAAAAAGAAAAUCCAUAAUAAUUAAACCAAAAAUAUGAAAUUCGAGCUCUAAAGUCGCUGUCCAAUCCUAAGUCUGAGGAUCACUUGAAAUGAAACAAAAAAAAGGCGUGAGCUUUAAGCCCAGUGUGUGUUUAGACCUGUAAUCUCAGUACAAACAUACAAAACUAACGGAACGUCUCAUAGGAUAUCUCUUAAUAUUUCAAAUCAUAUUAGAUUCUAUACAAAUCGUAUCUUAUCAUAUCAUGACAUAUAAUGUAAUAUCAAAUCAUAUCAUAUCAUAUCAUAUCAAAUCAUUUCCUACCCCCAUCCGUUACACACCAUCUUCGACCAGCUAGUCACACCGUAUAAGACUACAAGAGUCUAUCCAACCAAUCACACUAAUAUGUGGUGGUGUGCCACUCAUAUAUAUGCACUUGAGCUGACAAACAUAAAUUUCUGGUCUAGCCGUCAUGUUUGCAGUAGAACUGUCGUAUAACACUUCUUUUGUCAUAUCAUAACCCACCCCCAAAACACAUGCAUAUCAUAAUCAUAUAUCAUACAUCAUACAUAUUUAUAUCACAUAUCAUAUUACAUGCAUACACACAUAUUUUCAUAUAGGCCAUAACAUAGAAUAUGAUUUAAUUCUAGAAUAUCUUAGUUAACAUACCUGAUAAGCUUAUUAAUAUAUUGUUAUAUGCUAAAACUUGCCCUUUUUCGGUCUCAUAUGAUGCCUAUAGACCCAAAUUUUGAGUCCCUCAACUGACCCCUAAUCAAGCCUAAAAAUUUUCCAAAGUGGCUCACACAGCCCAAAAACCUAGCCAGUGUGGUCCACACGGCCAACCCACAUGGUCUGUAAAGUUUCACACGACCGUGUGCUCCACAUAGCCCUUGUUUCGCAUUUUUUCCAAGUUUCAAACAAUAAUUGGGUUAGUUUCACCCACCUGAUAGAAUAGUUGAUUGACCGCACAAUAAUUGCACUCCAAAUCCUACAAUUAUUCAUCAACGAUAACCAUCAAUUCUCAAAACCCAUCCAAAAUAGCACACUUUUCACCUAAAAUUAUAGCCCCUAAACAGAAGUUAAGUGCUUACCACUCAAGAAAUCAGAGACCUGAUUGCAGCCUACUCCACUGGAGGAAGUUGAUUGUCACCCCCUUCGCGUAGUCAAAACACAAGAACGUAUAUCACAACCAAGAAACGAGGUUUACGCAUAACACAAGUCUUAUCUUGUUCAAAGAAAAACAGUUUCGAAGUAAAAGAAUAGAAAUAAUUCGACGAACUUACACCACAUUCAGAAUUUCGAUCAUAUUAACAACACCAUGCACAAACACAAGGGAAAACAGAAUGGAUGAAAGCAAGUGCCAACAAAAAAGAGAAGAUGGGAAAAAGAAAAUUUCAAAAAGAAGAAGAAACAAACAAGAAAAAGAGAGAUAACUUAUGAAGAGAAGUUGUUGGACGUGCAAAAGAAAAGAGGGAUUUUAAGAAUUUGAUGAAUCUGAUAAUUAAAAAUAAAAAAAAUAAAAUAUCCUAUAAUCACCCAACCACCAGACUUUUGUAAUUCAAUAAGCACUCAACUACUAACAAAUACAAGCAACAAAAAUACUACAUAUGCUCAUACUAAGAUUGGAACUAAAAACCCCAAAAUCCGCUAAAAUUUAACCAUUAAACCACUAGGUUCAUCAUUGUUAUAAUUCAACAAAAAAAUAAUUUAAGUCCUAAUGUAACACCCCUUACCCGAGACCGUUUCCGGAGUCGAGCACGAGGCAUUACUUAGCUUAUCUUACCAAUUCGGAGCAUAAAAACUAGGUUUGAAAAUUUAUUUAACUAUUUACAGCAAAACUGUCCAAUCGCGCAGCAGUUACUAAAUUAAUUAUAACUUGAGCUACAAAACUCGAAAUUUAAUUCCGUAAAUUUUCCCUGAAACUAGACUCAUAUAUCUACUCACCAUAAAAUUUUUAGAAUUUUUGGUUCAGCCAAUUAGUAAAGUUUAUUAGUUAAAGUCUCCCCUAUUUCACCACCUGACUUCCCUGACCUCUAGUCACUAAAAAUAAGUUUUCUCACUGUAGGAUUUUCAUAUGAAGUUCUUACUUGUUUCUACAGAAAAUAAACUCAAUGAGAAAUCUAUACAUAUAAACUAUAACUCAUAACCAUUUUUGUACAAUUUUUAAUGAUUUUCUAAACUCAAAACAGGGGACACCAAAAACUGUUCUGACCCUGUCUCACGAAAAUUCACAUAUCUUAAAAUAUAAAAUUCCUUUCGCUACACCGUUAUUUUUCCAUGAAAAUAGACUCAACAAGAUUUAAUUCCAUAUAUCAUUAACCCUCUAAUUCAUUUUAUACUAUCUUGGGUGAUUUUUCAAAGUCACGUCACUGUGCUACCUGAAUUCUAUUUCUUUGCCAAAUUUUAUCCUUUCAUGAUUUCCAUGCAUAAUUUAUCACCUAAUCUUUCAUAACAACAAACACCUUCAUCCUUAACCAUUUUAAUGACCAUACAUCAUCAAAUACUUACACAUCACUCAUUAGCAAAAUCAUCAUUACAAACAUACAAAAUAACUAAAUCCCUAUACAUGCCAUAACUCAAACGUGUUUUGACAUAAAAUACCGAGCAGUUGUGGUUGAUAGUGUGGACGAUCUCCGACUUCUUUAGGAUCCUUGAAGUAGCUUUGCAAUACUAUAAGAGAAAGAAAUAAAAGAAGUAAGCAUAAAGCUUAGUAAGUUUACUAGCAAAUAAAUAACAAUAUUUAACUUAAAUAAUUAAACUCAAUGUCUAUAUCUCUAGUUUACUCUUUAGUUAAUCUCAUACUAGUUCUCUUACUUGUUUACUUAGAAUACUUGUGUGCAUAACUUACUCAAUCCUUGCUGCAUCGUUGAACAUCAAUUGAUAGUAUAAUAAGUUCUUAAGUCUUACAACUUACCUGAGCUUGCCAUUUAUGCUUUAAACUGAACUUUCAUGAACAUGAUUCGUUUACAAGCCCGUUGAGCUACAUUGGAAUAAUAAGGAUACUCGGGUCUCUUCUGAUAAUAACAUGCCAAAGUCAUGUCCCAGACAUGGUCUUACAUGGGAUGUUCUCAUAUCGGUGCCCAUGCCAUGUCCCAGACAUGGUCUUACGGGGGACCUCUCAUCUCGGUGCCAACGCCAUGUCCCAGACAUGGUCUUACAUGGGACCUCUCAUCUCGGUGCCAAUGCCAUGUCCCAGACAUGGUCUUACAUGGGACCUCUCAUCUCGGUGCCAAUGCCAUGUCCCAGACAUGGUCUUACAUGGGACCUCUUUACCCAAAUGUCAUGACAUUCGUAUCCAGUACCAUCCUGAUGUAUCAACGGGACUUUUUAAUUUUAAUUCUCUAUCAUUUCAUGCUUAGAUAAUCAUCAAAUAAAUUCAUAAAAUAAAUUCAUAGUUGCUGGAAAAUAACAGCAUUGAUAAUAAAUAUUGAAAUAUUGCAUUUAUUUACCGUAAACUUACCUCGGUAUCAAAUAUAGUCCAAUUCAACAACUUAGUCUUCAACUUUAUUCUUCCCUUUGUCUAACCUCGAGUUUCGUUCUUCUUGAUCUAAAAUAGCAAAUUUAACUUAUUUAAUACUCACAUUCAACAAAACAGCCAUUGACUCUAACUUUUUCAAAAUUACAAUUUUGCCCCUAAACUUUUACAUAAUUACAUUUUUGACCCAAGGCUCGGAAAUUAAACUUCAUCCCUUAUUCUUAUGUUUUAUGACAUGAUGAACAUUUUUCUCUUCUAUGCCAACAUCAAAUUCCCACUCUAACAUGUACUUAUGAACAUUAGGUAUUUUUACCGAUUAUGUCGUUUUACUCGUUUUUGCUUAAAAUCGGCUAACAAAAGUUGUUUAACAUAAUUUCUAGCUUCAUAUUCUAUCAUAAAACAUCAAAAUAAACACUUUUCACCUAUGGGUAUUUUUCCAAAUAUAAACCCUAGGUUAAAUUAUUGCUAGAAUAAGCUAAAUUAAGCUACCGGGACUCCAAAAACGUAAAAAAACAUUAAAAACGGGACUUGGGAUCACUUACUAUGGAGCUUGGAAGCUUGAAAACCCUAACUAUGGC